RNAcentral lists this ribosomal RNA (301 nucleotides) under uncultured bacterium. Its description in RNAcentral is "partial 16S ribosomal RNA". It matches the Rfam family "Bacterial small subunit ribosomal RNA", at positions 509 to 807 of the family's 1533-position model. The record is from RNAcentral.
CAGUAGCCGCGGGAACACGUAGGGUGCAAGCGUUAAUCGGAAUUACUGGGCGUAAAGCGUGCGCAGGCGGUUAUAUAAGACAGAUGUGAAAUCCCCGGGCUCAACCUGGGAACUGCAUUUGUGACUGUAUAGCUAGAGUACGGCAGAGGGGGAUGGAAUUCCGCGUGUAGCAGUGAAAUGCGUAGACAUGCGGAGGAACACCGAUGGCGAAGGCAAUCCCCUGGGCCUGUACUGACGCUCAUGCACGAAAGCGUGGGGAGCAAACAGGAUUAGAUACCCCUGUAGUCCCUGUCUCUUAUAC